UUCGGUUUGGGUGGCGGACGGGUGAGUAACGCGUAAAGAACUUGCCUCACAGAUAGGGACAACAUUUGGAAACGAAUGCUAAUACCUGAUAUUAUGAUUUUAGGGCAUCCUAGAAUUAUGAAAGCUAUAUGCGCUGUGAGAGAGCUUUGCGUCCCAUUAGCUAGUUGGAGAGGUAACGGCUCACCAAGGCGAUGAUGGGUAGCCGGCCUGAGAGGGUGAUCGGCCACAAGGGGACUGAGACACGGCCCUUACUCCUACGGGAGGCAGCAGUGGGGAAUAUUGGACAAUGGACCAAGAGUCUGAUCCAGCAAUUCUGUGUGCACGAUGAAGUUUUUCGGAAUGUAAAGUGCUUUCAGUUGGGAAGAAAAAAAUGACGGUACCAACAGAAGAAGUGACGGCUAAAUACGUGCCAGCAGCCGCGGUAAUACGUAUGUCACAAGCGUUAUCCGGAUUUAUUGGGCGUAAAGCGCGUCUAGGUGGUUAUGUAAGUCUGAUGUGAAAAUGCAGGGCUCAACUCUGUAUUGCGUUGGAAACUGUGUAACUAGAGUACUGGAGAGGUAAGCGGAACUACAAGUGUAGAGGUGAAAUUCGUAGAUAUUUGUAGGAAUGCCGAUGGGGAAGCCAGCUUACUGGACAGAUACUG
Molecule: ribosomal RNA, 643 nt
Filed under: uncultured Fusobacteriota bacterium
Lineage: Bacteria; Fusobacteriati; Fusobacteriota
Description: bacterial SSU rRNA
Rfam family: Bacterial small subunit ribosomal RNA
Source: RNAcentral